UCACCGCGGAGCUAGCUUGGUCGGGUAGCGGCUCCCGGAGUGGGAUCACUCCGGCGGUUGGGAGGACCGUGCACUAUCCUUUUUUUUAAAUAUACUGUUAUACUAUAUUACUACUAUGAUAAUCUUGUCUUUUAAAUAAGAGUAAAGUACAUGGAUGGUCCUUGUGGUUUAUAUGCGUAUACGCUUACGGGUCUAACUUCUAAGAACUGUGAAUCAUAUGCUAAUGAUGGCAUCAUUGCUGAACAGGUGAUCAUAUCUUUGAAGUUUCCUUAAGUUUUUCCACUUUAAGUUUGUGUAUCUUGAUAAAAAUUAGUUAUAGUUACUUUAUGGUCAUCAAAUGGAAGCCUCUAUAAGUUGUGAAGUUCAAAUGGCAUCCUGGUGCCAUGAAUGGCUACAAGUGAUUCAUUAUUUAUGCAUGGAGAUAUAUUGUAUGGGCAUGCACAUGAUCUCCACAACGGAUAAUGCUCUCAGUUCAAGUGGGCAUUAUCCUACAAUUAUUUACCUAUAAUGUUGAUCGCAAAAGUCUAUUCUACCUGGAUGUUAAUUUUAGAAGGCUAAGGUACCAAGGUCUUGCUAUAUAAACCCAAAAUCACGCUCAUUGCCUUUCUUAUCCAUUGGGCUAGUGCUAUUGGCAAAACCACAUCAAAUUUUUACCUAUAUAUUGUCAUUGGUCUAAUGUAAAACUUUGCAUCCAUCUUACAGGGUAUUGACCUCAUUUUUUCAUGCAAUCGCUUCUCUGUAAAUAAUAUGGUAACUUUUGUAUGGAUAAUAUUGAAAAUAGGCGAUUUGACCUUAGAAGUCAAAUUGACUUUUUUCUUUAUUCUAGAAUUGUAUAAGCAGCUAAUAGUUUCAUAAAUUGUGAUUAUGCUGGCCAUUAAUAUUUCACUUUGCAUUGGUUUUAUUAAAUCGAAAGGUUGAACGUGAUUAUCCAAGAUAUAGUGAAAGAAAAAGGACAAAAGGAAAAAGAAAGGUUGAAUGAUAUUAUUGCGGGAUUGGUGGUGGAAAAAGAGAAAUAUAAGGCGGAGAAAGAGGCUAUCAAUGAAAGAAUGGCAAACAUUGAAGCAAUGCUAAAGGCUAGGUUUCAAAACGUAUAAUCAUCGACUUAGGUUUCAAACGUUUAAACACUUUGUUUUGAAUAUGUAUUUUGUUAUGGUAACUUUGGUAUUUGAUGUUUCAAGUGAAAUGCUUUAU
Molecule: long non-coding RNA, 1191 nt
Organism: Helianthus annuus (common sunflower)
Lineage: Eukaryota; Viridiplantae; Streptophyta; Magnoliopsida; Asterales; Asteraceae
Exons: 3
Source: RefSeq, a predicted model, not a curated record